Molecule: ribosomal RNA, 481 nt
Filed under: uncultured bacterium
Lineage: Bacteria
Description: partial 16S ribosomal RNA
Rfam family: Bacterial small subunit ribosomal RNA
Source: RNAcentral
GACGAACGUUGGCGGCGUGCUUAAUACAUGCAAGUCAACUGAAGCAGUGGUAGCAAUAUCGCUGUGGAGGUGGCGCACGGGUGAGUAACACGUAGGUAAUCUGUCUUCAGGUCUGGCAUAACUCCGGGAAACCGGGGCUAAUAGCAGAUGAUGCAGCGGCUCGACAUCGAGACAGUUGUUAAAGCUAUGGCGCCUGAAGAUGAGCCUGCGUCUGAUUAGCUAGUUGGCGGGGUAACGGCCCACCAAGGCAACGAUCAGUAGCUGGUCUGAGAGGAUGAUCAGCCACACUGGAACUGAGACACGGUCCAGACUCCUACGGGAGGCAGCAGUAAGGAAUAUUGCUCAAUGGGAGAAAUCCUGAAGCAGCAACGCCGCGUGAGGGACGAAGGGCUUUUGCUUGUAAACCUCUGUAGUGAGAGAAAAAAAUCCCAAUCUUUGGGACAUGAUGGUAUCUCAAAAGUAAGCCCCGGCUAACUACGUG